GACGAACGCUGGCGGCGUGCCUAAUACAUGCAAGUAGAACGCACAGUUUAUACCGUAGCUUGCUACACCAUAGACUGUGAGUUGCGAACGGGUGAGUAACGCGUAGGUAACCUGCCUGGUAGCGGGGGAUAACUAUUGGAAACGAUAGCUAAUACCGCAUAAUAUUAAUUAUUGCAUGAUAAUUAAUUGAAAGGUGCAAUUGCACCACUACCAGAUGGACCUGCGUUGUAUUAGCUAGUAGGUGAGGUAACGGCUCACCUAGGCGACGAUACAUAGCCGACCUGAGAGGGUGAUCGGCCACACUGGGACUGAGACACGGCCCAGACUCCUACGGGAGGCAGCAGUAGGGAAUCUUCGGCAAUGGACGAAAGUCUGACCGAGCAACGCCGCGUGAGUGAAGAAGGUUUUCGGAUCGUAAAGCUCUGUUGUAAGAGAAGAACGGGUGUGAGAGUGGAAAGUUCACACUGUGACAGUAUCUUACCAGAAAGGGACGGCUAACUACGUG
Molecule: ribosomal RNA, 505 nt
Filed under: uncultured bacterium
Lineage: Bacteria
Description: partial 16S ribosomal RNA
Rfam family: Bacterial small subunit ribosomal RNA
Source: RNAcentral